This 254-nucleotide ribosomal RNA is filed under the name uncultured bacterium. Its description in RNAcentral is "partial 16S ribosomal RNA". It matches the Rfam family "Bacterial small subunit ribosomal RNA", at positions 524 to 776 of the family's 1533-position model. The record is from RNAcentral.
UACGGGGGGGGCAAGCGUUGUUCGGAAUUAUUGGGCGUAAAGAGCUCGUAGGCGGUGUGUCACGUCGGCCGUGAAAACCUGCAGCUUAACUGUGGGCGUGCGGUCGAUACGGGCAUCACUGGAGUUCGGCAGGGGAGACUGGAAUUCCUGGUGUAGCGGUGAAAUGCGCAGAUAUCAGGAGGAACACCGGUGGCGAAGGCGGGUCUCUGGGCCGAUACUGACGCUGAGGAGCGAAAGCGUGGGGAGCAAACAGG